GACGAACGCUGGCGGCGUGCUUAACACAUGCAAGUCGAACGAUGAAGCCCAGCUUGCUGGGUGGAUUAGUGGCGAACGGGUGAGUAACACGUGGGUGAUCUGCCCUGCACUUCGGGAUAAGCCUGGGAAACUGGGUCUAAUACCGGAUAUGACCUCGGAAUGCAUGUUCUGGGGUGGAAAGGUUUACUGGUGCAGGAUGAGCCCGCGGCCUAUCAGCUUGUUGGUGGGGUAAUGGCCUACCAAGGCGACGACGGGUAGCCGGCCUGAGAGGGCGACCGGCCACACUGGGACUGAGACACGGCCCAGACUCCUACGGGAGGCAGCAGUGGGGAAUAUUGCACAAUGGGCGAAAGCCUGAUGCAGCGACGCCGCGUGAGGGAUGACGGCCUUCGGGUUGUAAACCUCUUUCAGCAGGGACGAAGCGCAAGUGACGGUACCUGCAGAAGAAGCACCGGCCAACUACGUG
Molecule: ribosomal RNA, 466 nt
Filed under: uncultured organism
Description: bacterial SSU rRNA
Rfam family: Bacterial small subunit ribosomal RNA
Source: RNAcentral